UGCCAGACUCCUACGGGAGGCAGCAGUGAGGAAUAUUGGUCAAUGGGCUUACGCCUGAACCAGCCAAGUCGCGUGAGGGAAGACUGCCCUAUGGGUUGUAAACCUCUUUUGUCAGGGAGCAAUUGGCGCUACGUGUAGCGUUAUCGAGAGUACCUGAAGAAAAAGCAUCGGCUAACUCCGUGCCAGCAGCCGCGGUAAUACGUAGGGGGCGAGCGUUAUCCGGAUUUACUGGGUGUAAAGGGAGCGUAGACGGUUUUUCAAGUCUGAAGUGAAAGCCCGCGGCUCAACUGCGGAACGGCUUUGGAAACUGAGGGACUAGAGUGCUGGAGGGGCGGGCGGAAUUCCUGGUGUAGCGGUGAAAUGCGUAGAUAUCAGGAGGAACACCGGUGGCGAAGGCGGCCUGCUGGACAGUAACUGACGUUGAGGCUCGAAAGCGUGGGGAGCAAACAGGAUUAGAUACCCUAGUAU
This 468-nucleotide ribosomal RNA is filed under the name uncultured bacterium. RNAcentral describes it as "bacterial SSU rRNA". It matches the Rfam family "Bacterial small subunit ribosomal RNA", at positions 329 to 793 of the family's 1533-position model. The record is from RNAcentral.